UACGUAGGUGGCAAGCGUUAUCCGGAUUUACUGGGUGUAAAGGGCGUGUAGGCGGGACUGCAAGUCAGAUGUGAAAUUCCAGGGCUCAACCCUGGAACUGCAUUUGAAACUGUAGUUCUUGAGUGAUGGAGAGGCAGGCGGAAUUCCGUGUGUAGCGGUGAAAUGCGUAGAUAUACGGAGGAACACCAGUGGCGAAGGCGGCCUGCUGGACAUUAACUGACGCUGAGGCGCGAAAGCGUGGGGAGCAGACAGG
RNAcentral lists this ribosomal RNA (253 nucleotides) under uncultured bacterium. RNAcentral describes it as "partial 16S ribosomal RNA". It matches the Rfam family "Bacterial small subunit ribosomal RNA", at positions 524 to 776 of the family's 1533-position model. The record is from RNAcentral.